Molecule: long non-coding RNA, 212 nt
Filed under: Sorghum bicolor (sorghum)
Lineage: Eukaryota; Viridiplantae; Streptophyta; Magnoliopsida; Poales; Poaceae
Description: long non-coding RNA (SBIC_LNC005917)
Source: RNAcentral
AGUGGUUGCAGCAGAAAUUAUUAUGUUGCUAUUUGCUAGGUAUAUGGUGGGGUGGCUAUGUGACGAUGCUUGUGAAUGGCUAUGUGACGAUGCUUGUGAAUUGCUACUACGUGACUGGUGCUUGUGAAUUGUUGAUGUUUGGCGGGUAUGGGUGACCCGCUGGGUCUAAUUUACCCACCCGGGUAUGGGUCUGGAGAAAUUCCCCCACCCAU